Molecule: ribosomal RNA, 434 nt
Filed under: Lodderomyces orthopsilosis
Lineage: Eukaryota; Fungi; Ascomycota; Pichiomycetes; Serinales; Debaryomycetaceae
Description: eukaryotic LSU rRNA
Rfam family: Eukaryotic large subunit ribosomal RNA
Source: RNAcentral
GGUCCUUAUUAGCGGCGAGUGAGCGGCAAAAGCUCACAUUUGAAAUCUGGCACUUUCAGUGCCCGAGUUGUAAUUUGAAGAAGGUAUCUUUGGGUCUGGCUCUUGUCUAUGUUUCUUGGAACAGAACGUCACAGAGGGUGAGAAUCCCGUGCGAUGAGAUGACCCAGACCUAUGUAAAGUUCCUUCGAAGAGUCGAGUUGUUUGGGAAUGCAGCUCUAAGUGGGUGGUAAAUUCCAUCUAAAGCUAAAUAUUGGCGAGAGACCGAUAGCGAACAAGUACAGUGAUGGAAAGAUGAAAAGAACUUUGAAAAGAGAGUGAAAAAGUACGUGAAAUUGUUGAAAGGGAAGGGCUUGAGAUCAGACUUGGUAUUUUGUAUGUUACUCUCUCGGGGGUGGCCUCUACAGUUUACCGGGCCAGCAUCAGUUUGGGCGGUA